Molecule: non-coding RNA, 2589 nt
Organism: Misgurnus anguillicaudatus (oriental weatherfish)
Lineage: Eukaryota; Metazoa; Chordata; Actinopteri; Cypriniformes; Cobitidae
Source: RefSeq, a predicted model, not a curated record
CUUGUGAAAAAUUAGCGUACUUAAGUGUAUUGAAAGCAUACUUUUUGUGUGCUUAAAAUAAUAAAAGUAUAAUUUUCGAAAAGUGCACUUGCUGAUAAUAUAAUAUAAUACAAAUUAAAGACCACUUAAGCGUACUUAAAUGGAAUACACUUUAAUUACACUAUUUAUUAACACACUUAAGUGCACUUUUUACAACUGCACUUUGUAAUAAUAGGUAUUUAAUUUUAACUUAUAGUAAGUACACUUUCAUCAUAAUAUUUAUAAUCACACUUAAGUGCACUUUUAAAAAUGCACUUUAUAAUAAUAUCUAAUUAAUUUGAACUUAUAGUAAGUACACUUUCAUCAUAAUAUUUCACUAACACACUUAAGGACACUUUUUAAAAAUGCACUUUUUAAUAAUAUCUAAUUAAUUUGAACUUAUAGUAAGUACACUUUCAUUAUAAUAUUUAUAAACACAAUUAAGUGCACUUUUAAAAUGCACUUUGUAAUAAUAUCUAAUUAAUUUGAACUUACAGUAAGUACACUUUCAUCACAAUAUUUCACUAACACACUUAAGGACACUUUUUAAAAAUGCACUUUGUAAUAAUAUCUAAAUAAUUUUAAAUUAUAGUAAGUACACUUUCAUCAUAAUAUUUAUAAACACACUUAAGUGCACUUUUAAAAAUGCACUUUGUAUUAAUGUCUAAUUAAGCUUAACUUAAAGAAAGUACACUUUCAUCAUAAUAUUUAUAAACACACUUAAGUGCACUUUUAAAAAUGCACUUUUUAAUACUGUCUAAUUAAGCUUAACUUAUAGUAAGUACACUUUCAUCACAAUAUUUCUUAACAUACUUAAGUACACUUUUUAAAAAUGCACUUUGUCUAAUUUAGUUUUACUUAAAUGUAACCCUGGUUAAAUAAUUAAAUAUUAUUAUUUUAAAAGUGUGCUUAAAAAUAAUAGAGACUAUUCAUACAUCUACAUUUAUUUUAUAAAUGAGGAAAUACAUGUGAAUAAUUCAAUCUGAAUUAUAAAUCUGAAAUGAGUAAACCAAUCGGAGUGUUUAAUUGUAAGCUCCGCCCCUUUUUGCUUUCGGAUCGCGUCUCAGUUCAGAGGAGAGAUGCAGAGCGACAGAGACACUCUAUCUAACGCGAGAGUGUUUAAUUUGAUUAAAUAUGACUCCUAAGUUCAUAUAAGCUGAAGAAAUCAGAAUUUAACUUGCAUAUAUUCAAUGAUACAGCGUGAUUGUGUGGAUUGAGCACUUUUUGAGCUUUCAUUUUGACCUGUGUGAUUAUGUAAAACCACAUGGUGCGUUGUGUUCACUGCCGUCGCUGACGCCAUUUUGGUUGCACGUGCCUGUGAAAGACAAAAAGAGAGAGAAACACGUGAAUGGACAGGUAUUUGUCUAAAUUGUCAUUUAUUAUGAUGAUGGCACUUAUGUAUGUAUUUUAUUUGUUUCCUGUAUUGUGUACAAUUGUUCAUCAUUAUUGAUACACAAUAUUGAAUGUUUUUUCCUUUCGUAUGAACAUUCCUUGAGCUGGAUUUUCCUAAUUGAUGGCGAGCCUCCCAUUUCGACCUGAUUGGAUCACGAAUCUAGAGGAAAGGACAAAUUUCUAUUUUAAAUAUUUUUCUUCAGACAAGUAAGAGGAUACAUUUCAGAAACUGUUUCCUUAUUUUGUUUGUUUACUUCAUUGAACUGAAACAUUUCAGAAGCACAAAUCUGAUAAUUUAAGACUGAUCAAUACUCCAAUUGAUAAGAACUUUGAACUUGAAUACGGAUUUCAGUGUGUUACAUAUAUAAUUUGUACCAUAUUUGUACAUUGAUUGUGACUGUGAUUUCUGUAAAUGAGAAGUAAUUUAGAGGGUGCACCCAUAGUAUAUAUCCCCCUUCUUCAAAUCUUACCCUGGAGGUCCGGAGCACUACAGAGGCUGCGUCCGAAACCGCAUACUGUAUAGUAGGUACUGAAUUAGAUGAAGUACCUACUUACUUAGCGUUAAAACAGUAGGUACUGUAUAGUAUGAAUCCUGGUAGUAUGAAUGAGAUUCGGACGUACUACAUCCGCCAUGUUGCUACAUCACGUGAUAUACGUCGUCAUCACGUCAUGUCAUUUCAGCGCGAAAACAACCGCAUGCCUCUUCUUCUUCGUUGGAUAACUCCUCUCCCGGGGCAUCAUGGGAUAGUGAAGCGUCCAUCGUAUGCACACUGCAAAAUCAAGCCGGAAGUAGUAGGUCAUCCGGGUACUUUUCGCAUACUGUUUUUCGAAUACUAUGUAUUCGGACAUACUACUCGCCUCGCCUACUGCUUUUCGCGUACUAUAUAGUAAGUAGUAGGCUGUUUCGGACGCAGCAAGAGUUUAGCUCCAACCCUGAUCAAACACACCUGAGCAAGCUAAUCAAGGUCUUCAUGAUCACUAGGAAAUCACAGGUGGGUAAGUUUGAUUAGGGUUGGAGCUAAACUCUGUAGUGCUCUGAACCUCCAGGGUAAGAUUUGAGGAACCCUGGUAUAUAUAGUUAAUUGUAUUUUCAUUGUUGUUUACUAUUUUUUUGUGAUUAAGGAAAGAAAAAGAAAGGUUUCUCAAUACUCAAAGUAAAAUAAUUUAUUAAUCAACUUA